This 72-nucleotide transfer RNA is filed under the name Camelus ferus (Wild Bactrian camel). It matches the Rfam family "tRNA". From Rfam's summary of the family: Transfer RNA (tRNA) molecules are approximately 80 nucleotides in length. Lineage: Eukaryota; Metazoa; Chordata; Mammalia; Artiodactyla; Camelidae. The record is from Rfam by way of RNAcentral.
GGGUGUAAAGCUCAGCGGUAGAGUGCAUGCCUAGCAUGCACAAGGUCCUGGGUUCAAUCCCCAGUACUGCCA